Long non-coding RNA from Cyprinus carpio (common carp), 253 nucleotides. RefSeq lists it as uncharacterized. NCBI's taxonomy places the organism in Eukaryota, Metazoa, Chordata, Actinopteri, Cypriniformes, Cyprinidae. The transcript has 6 exons. The record is from RefSeq and is a predicted model, not a curated record.
CACUAAAGAAAAGGCAAAAACCUACUCUCUACUAAGAAAGAUCCAGCAGUAACAAAGGUGGCAAAAGUAACAACAACCUCACGUAAAGAAGAGAAAGCUAUAAAGGAAGUGAAGCCCAAAGCAGAGGUCAAGAAAAAGGCCGCAUCAACACCAAAAGCCAAACAAGCUAUUAAAGUUGUGGGAAAACCUGUUCCAGAUGAGAAGAAAACGGCAGAAGAAACAAAAGAGAAAGCAGCCGAGGCACCAGCACCAG